GAACGCUGGCGGUAUGCUUAACACAUGCAAGUCGAACGGUAACGGGCCGCUGUGAUCCCUUCGGGGUGAACUUGGCGCCGACGAGUGGCGGACGGGUGAGUAAUACUUAGGAAUCUGCCCAGUAGUGGGGGACAACACGGGGAAACUCGUGCUAAUACCGCAUACGCCCUAUGGGGGAAAGUGGAGGAUCUUCGGACUUCACGCUAUUGGAUGAGCCUAAGUCGGAUUAGCUUGUUGGUAGGGUAAUGGCCUACCAAGGCAACGAUCCGUAGCUGGUCUGAGAGGACGAUCAGCCACACUGGGACUGAGACACGGCCCAGACUCCUACGGGAGGCAGCAGUGGGGAAUAUUGGACAAUGGGCGCAAGCCUGAUCCAGCAAUGCCGCGUGUGUGAAGAAGGCCUGCGGGUUGUAAAGCUCUGUUAUCAGGGAAGAACGUUCUCUAUGUGAAUAAUGUAGGGAAGUGACGGUACCUGAGGAGGAAGCCACGGCUAACUACGUG
RNAcentral lists this ribosomal RNA (501 nucleotides) under uncultured bacterium. Its description in RNAcentral is "bacterial SSU rRNA". It matches the Rfam family "Bacterial small subunit ribosomal RNA", at positions 31 to 507 of the family's 1533-position model. The record is from RNAcentral.